This 274-nucleotide ribosomal RNA is filed under the name uncultured bacterium. RNAcentral's name for it is "partial 16S ribosomal RNA". It matches the Rfam family "Bacterial small subunit ribosomal RNA", at positions 523 to 796 of the family's 1533-position model. The record is from RNAcentral.
AUACGGAGGGUGCAAGCGUUGUUCGGAAUCACUGGGCGUAAAGCGCGUGUAGGCGGCUCGACAAGUCGGUUGUGAAAUCCCGAGGCCCAACCUCGGAACUGCAUCCGAAACUGCCGAGCUGGAGUCCUGGAGAGGGUGGCGGAAUUUCCGGUGUAGAGGUGAAAUUCGUAGAUAUCGGAAGGAACACCAGUGGCGAAGGCGGCCACCUGGACAGUGACUGACGCUGAGACGCGAAAGCGUGGGGAGCAAACAGGAUUAGAAACCCCGGUAGUCC